ACUCAAAGGAAUUGACGGGGGCCCGCACAAGCAGUGGAGCAUGUGGUUUAAUUCGAUGCUACGCGAAAAACCUUACCAGGGCUUGACAUCCCGGUGAAAUCCCUUAGAAAUAGGGGACCCCUUCGGGCACCGGUGACAGGUGGUGCAUGGCUGUCGUCAGCUCGUGUCGUGAGAUGUUGGAUUAAGUUCCGCAACGAGCGCAACCCUCGUUUCCAGUUGCCAUCAUUAAGUUGGGCACUCUGGAGAGACCGCCGGCGUCAAGCCGGAGGAAGGUGGGGAUGACGUCAAGUCAUCAUGCCCCUUACGCCCUGGGCUACACACGUGCUACAAUGGGCAGUACAACGGGCUGCUACCUCGCGAGAGGAUGCGAAUCCCCAAAGCUGCUCUCAGUUCGGAUUGCAGGCUGCAACUCGCCUGCAUGAAGCUGGAAUUGCUAGUAACCGUGGAUCAGCAUGCCGCGGUGAAUACGUACUCGGGCCUUGUACACACCGCCCGU
Molecule: ribosomal RNA, 496 nt
Filed under: uncultured bacterium
Lineage: Bacteria
Description: partial 16S ribosomal RNA
Rfam family: Bacterial small subunit ribosomal RNA
Source: RNAcentral